GAUGAAGAACGUAGCAAAAUGCGAUAAGUAAUGUGAAUUGCAGAAUUCAGUGAAUCAUCGAAUCUUUGAACGCACAUUGCGCCCCCUGGUAUUCCGGGGGGCAUGCCUGUCCGAGCGUCAUUACAACCCUCAAGCUCAGCUUGGUGUUGGGCCCCGCCGCCCGGCGGGCCCUAAAGUCAGUGGCGGUGCCGUCCGGCUCCGAGCGUAGUAAUUCUUCUCGCUCUGGAGGUCCGGUCGUGUGCUCGCCAGCAACCCCCAAUUUUUUUCAGGUUGACCUCGGAUCAGGUAGGGAUACCCGCUGAACUUAAGCAUAUCAAUAAGCGGAGGA
Molecule: unclassified non-coding RNA, 328 nt
Filed under: soil metagenome
Description: partial contains 5.8S ribosomal RNA, internal transcribed spacer 2, and large subunit ribosomal RNA
Rfam family: 5.8S ribosomal RNA (bases 1-120)
Source: RNAcentral